UAAGAUUAUUUUUAAAGUAAGAUUUGCUCUAUGAUUAUUUAAAUGGCUGCAGUAUUUUGACUGUACAAAGGUAGCAUAAUAAUUUGGUUCUUAAUUAGAAUCUAGUAUGAAUGAUUUAAUGAGAAUUAUAUUUUAUUAUUAUUAUUAUUAUAAUUUUAAUUUUUAGUUAAAAUGCUAAAAUUUAAUUUAGGGACGAUAAGACCCUAUAGAAUUUUAUUUUUUUUUUAAUAUAUUUAUUAAAAUUUAUUUUUAAUUGGGGUGAUUAUUAAAUUUAUUCUUUAUUUUUUUAAAUCAUUUUUUUAUGUAUUUUUGAUCUCUUAUUUUUGGAAUAUAAGUUUAAAUUACCUUAGGGAUAACAGCGUAAUUUUUAUGGGGAGUUCAUAUCUAUAUAAUUGUUUGCGACCUCGAUGUUGAAUUAAGAUUAAAUUUUAGGUGAAGUAG
This 441-nucleotide ribosomal RNA is filed under the name Aphrodes sp. n. DMT-2019. Its description in RNAcentral is "partial large subunit ribosomal RNA". The record is from RNAcentral. Lineage: Eukaryota; Metazoa; Arthropoda; Insecta; Hemiptera; Cicadellidae.